Triticum dicoccoides is the source of this 804-nucleotide long non-coding RNA. RefSeq lists it as uncharacterized. The record is from RefSeq and is a predicted model, not a curated record. The transcript is spliced from 2 exons. Lineage: Eukaryota; Viridiplantae; Streptophyta; Magnoliopsida; Poales; Poaceae.
AAUUCCCCAUUUGGUUCCGCUCUCUGGUGCAAACCCUAGACUGCCUGAGCCACCAUGUCCGCCUCAUCGUCCUCCUCUCUCCCUGUGCCAGCCGAUUUCCCUCUUGAUCUCAUCAGGUGUCCCUUCUGCGGCGCGGAUCUGGAAACCAAUGUAGGAAGAACCGGGAGUAGGGCGGGGUAGCGGUUCUACAAGUGUGUCUGCUAUGAUGCUUGCGAGUGUAGGUUCUUUGAAUUCCAGACGGCCUACGUCAGAAGGAUGACUCCGUACCAGAUCGCCCGUGCUCAGCAGCAAGCGGGGGUGCUCCAGGUCCAAAUGCAGGCAAACCCUGCCGGCAUCGUCGCUCCACCUGCGAACCAGGCUCAGGUCCAGGCGAACCAUGGUCAGAAUCACCUUCCGGCGGCGCCGGAGGCCGUUCUGGUGAACCAGAUCUUCAGGCCCGUCGCAGUUGCUGCUUUUGGUUCUCAGGCGCUGGGGGCAGCAGCUUUCAUCCUUGCCGCUAGCAACAUCAUGCUCACUCUACUGGUUCUGUUGUUCGUUGUGGCCAUCUAUUUUGGCGGCGGCAACUAGUUUGUUCUUAGUACGACGUACGUUGACAUUUCGGCAAGGGUUCUUAGUACAAGUGUGUGUGUGAUGCUCGACUGCGGAUUUGGUCGGUCCUAGUUUGCCUUAGGCAAUAUGAUUAGGCAAUUAAUGGUGUUCAAGGGUGGCUCCCUUUACCUCUAAGCCUGUUUACCAGAAAAUGUAAUUCGUGCUCUAAUGUAACGCACUAUCUGGAACUAAUGAAGCUUGGCUGUGUUAGUUAAU